AUUGCUUCUGUGCAUUUUAGCGAAGAUCAAGUAUAGUAUCCGUUCUUAUCAGUUUAAUAUCUGAUACGUCCUCUAACUGAGGGCAAUAUAUUCAAUGGAUUUUUGGAUCGGGGAGAUGGAAGAGGAGCUUGCUCUGUUCUACUCCACACAUGGACCUGGUAUUGCAGUAUUUCCAGGAAUAAUGCACCCCCU
Lontra canadensis (Northern American river otter) is the source of this 192-nucleotide small nuclear RNA. RefSeq annotates it as U2 spliceosomal RNA. The transcript has a single exon. NCBI's taxonomy places the organism in Eukaryota, Metazoa, Chordata, Mammalia, Carnivora, Mustelidae. The record is from RefSeq and is a predicted model, not a curated record.